Puccinia graminis f. sp. tritici is the source of this 96-nucleotide transfer RNA. It matches the Rfam family "tRNA". Rfam says of the family: Transfer RNA (tRNA) molecules are approximately 80 nucleotides in length. Lineage: Eukaryota; Fungi; Basidiomycota; Pucciniomycetes; Pucciniales; Pucciniaceae. The record is from Rfam.
GCGUUGUUGGUGUAGUGGUUAGCAUUGAAGCCUUCCACCCGUUAAGUGAUCACGGAAGUCUAGCUUUAGUCCGGGGUUCGAAUCCCCGACAACGCA